NNCCCGGUCACCCCGCAGCCCUGCGUCGUGCGGCCCGUCCCGCCCGGGGCCCGCGGCCGCUCCAGAGGGGCCGGCGGCUUUCCUAGGAAGGAGACGGGAGACGGGGCCGAGGGUCUGCUAGAAGGCGCGUCGCCGGGAGCCCGAGCCCACGGAAACCGGUUCCCACCGCGGCCGCCGACCCUGUUGCGCGUGUGGCGAGCGCCCCCCCGUGGGCGCGGCGGGCACUGCCCGGGGACGGAGCCGGCCUGGGGGCUCCGCUGCUCCCCGACGCCUCCGCAGCCUCCGCAGCCUCCUCCUCCUCAUCAUCAUCCUCUUCAGCAUCAUCAUCCUCCCCCCGCCUCCUCCUCCUCCUCAUCCUCAUCCUCCCCCGCCUCCUCCUCCUCCUCAUCUUCCUCCACCUUCUCCUCAUCCUCCUCCACCUCCUACUCAUCAUCAUCAUCCUCCUCAUCCUCCUCAUCCUCAUCCUCCCCCGCCUCCUCCUCCUCCUCCUCCUCAUCUUCCUCCACCUCCUCCUCAUCCUCCUCCACCUCCUACUCAUCAUCAUCAUCCUCAUCCUCCUCAUCCUCCCCUGCCUCCUCCACCUCCUCCUCCUCCUCCUCCUCCACCUCCUCCUCAUCCUCCACCUCCUCCUCAACCUCAUCUUCCUCAUCCUCAUCCUCCUCCUCCACCUCCUUCUCCUCCUCCUCCUCCGCCUUUCUCCUCCUCCUCCUCCUCCUCCUCAUCCUCAUCCUCAUCCUUCUCCUCCUAAUCCUUCUCCUCUGCAGCCUCCUCCACCUCCUCCUCUUCCUCCUCCUCCUCAUCUUCCUCAUCCUCAUCCUCCUCCUCUACCUCCUUCUCCUCCUCCUCCUCCGCCUCCUUCUCUUCCUCCUCCUCCUCCUCCUCCUCAUCCUCAUCCUUCUCCUCCUAAUCCUUUUCCUCGGCAGCCUCCUCCACCUCCUCCUCCUCCUCCACCUCCUCCNNNNNNNNNNNNNNNNNNNNNNNNNNNNNNNNNNNNNNNNNNNNNNNNNNNNNNNNNNNNNNNNNNNUCCUCCUCCGCCUCCUCCUCCUCAUCAUCAUCCUCCUCAUCCUCCUCAUCCUCCCCAUCCUCCCCUGCCUCCUCCUCAUCCUCAUCUUCCUCAUCCUCAUCCUCCUCCUCCACCUCCUCCUCCUCAUCAUCCUCCUCAUUCUCAUCCUCAUCCUCCUCAUCUCCUCAUCCUCCUCUGCCUCCUCCUCCUCAUCAUCCUCCUCAUCCUCCUCCUAAUCCUCCUCCUUCACAGCCUCUUUCUCCUCCUCCUCCUCAUCUCACCCUCCUCUGCCUCCUCCUCAUCAUCAUCCUCCUCAUCUUCCUCCACCUCCUCCUUCUCAUCUUCCUCCUCCUCCUAAUCCUCCUCCUCCUCAGCCUCUUUCUCCUCCUCCUCCUCCUCCUUGUCCUCCUCCUCAUCCUCAUCCUCCUCCUCCACCUCCUCAUCAUCAUCCUCCUCCUCAUCCUCAUCCUUCUUCUCCUCCUCCUCCUAAUCCUCCUCCACCGCCUCCACCUCAUCAUCAUCCUCCUCCUCAUCUUCAUCCUCCCCGUCUGCCUCCUCCUCAUCAUCCUCCUCCUCACCCUCAUCCUCCUCCUCUGCCUCCUCCGCCUCCUCCUCAUCAUCAUCCUCCACCUCCUACUCAUCCUCCUCCUCCUAAUCCUCCUCUGCCUCCUCCUCAUCCUCCUGUUCCUCCUCCUCCCCCUCCUCCUCUUCCCCUUCCCU
RNAcentral lists this long non-coding RNA (1724 nucleotides) under Vulpes vulpes (red fox). Its description in RNAcentral is "lncRNA (ENSVVUG00000008446.1)". The record is from RNAcentral. Lineage: Eukaryota; Metazoa; Chordata; Mammalia; Carnivora; Canidae.